UACGUAGGGUGCAAGCGUUGUCCGGAAUUAUUGGGCGUAAAGAGCUCGUAGGCGGCUUGUCACGUCGGGUGUGAAAGCCCGGGGCUUAACCCCGGGUCUGCAUUCGAUACGGGCUGGCUGGAGUUCGGUAGGGGAGAUCGGAAUUCCUGGUGUAGCGGUGAAAUGCGCAGAUAUCAGGAGGAACACCGGUGGCGAAGGCGGAUCUCUGGGCCGAUACUGACGCUGAGGAGCGAAAGCGUGGGGAGCGAACAGG
RNAcentral lists this ribosomal RNA (253 nucleotides) under uncultured bacterium. RNAcentral describes it as "partial 16S ribosomal RNA". It matches the Rfam family "Bacterial small subunit ribosomal RNA", at positions 524 to 776 of the family's 1533-position model. The record is from RNAcentral.